CAGUAGCCGCGGGAAUACGUAGGUGGCAAGCGUUGUCCGGAAUUAUUGGGCGUAAAGCGCGCGCAGGCGGAUCGGUCAGUCUGUCUUAAAAGUUCGGGGCUUAACCCCGUGAUGGGAUGGAAACUGCCAAUCUAGAGUAUCGGAGAGGGAAGUGGAAUUCCUAGUGUAGCGGUGAAAUGCGUAGAUAUUAGGAAGAACACCAGUGGCGAAGGCGACUUUCUGGACGAAAACUGACGCUGAGGCGCGAAAGCCAGGGGAGCGAACGGGAUUAGAUACCCCCGUAGUCCCUGUCUCUUAUACA
RNAcentral lists this ribosomal RNA (301 nucleotides) under uncultured bacterium. RNAcentral describes it as "partial 16S ribosomal RNA". It matches the Rfam family "Bacterial small subunit ribosomal RNA", at positions 509 to 809 of the family's 1533-position model. The record is from RNAcentral.